CUUUCUUUGCUGGCGACCGGCGCACGGGUGAGUAACACGUAUCCAACCUGCCCUUUACUCGGGGAUAGCCUUUCGAAAGAAAGAUUAAUACCCGAUAGCAUAAUGAUUCCGCAUGGUUUCAUUAUUAAAGGAUUCCGGUAAGGAUGGGGAUGCGUUCCAUUAGGUUGUUGUGAGGUAACGGCCCACCAAGCCUUCGAUGGAUAGGGGUUCUGAGAGGAAGGUCCCCCACAUUGGAACUGAGACACGGUCCAA
RNAcentral lists this ribosomal RNA (252 nucleotides) under uncultured bacterium. Its description in RNAcentral is "partial 16S ribosomal RNA". It matches the Rfam family "Bacterial small subunit ribosomal RNA", at positions 79 to 334 of the family's 1533-position model. The record is from RNAcentral.